CCUACGGGUGGCUGCAGUGGGGAAUAUUGGACAAUGGGCGAAAGCCUGAUCCAGCCAUGCCGCGUGUGUGAAGAAGGCCUUCGGGUUGUAAAGCACUUUCAGUGGGGAAGAAAGCCUUGGGGCUAAUACCCUCGAGGAAGGACAGCACCCACAGAAGAAGCACCGGCUAACUCCGUGCCAGCAGCCGCGGUAAUACGGAGGGUGCGAGCGUUAAUCGGAAUUACUGGGCGUAAAGCGCGCGUAGGCGGUCUGAUAAGCCGGUUGUGAAAGCCCCGGGCUCAACCUGGGAACGGCAUCCGGAACUGUCAGGCUAGAGUGCAGGAGAGGAAGGUAGAAUUCCCGGUGUAGCGGUGAAAUGCGUAGAGAUCGGGAGGAAUACCAGUGGCGAAGGCGGCCUUCUGGACUGACACUGACGCUGAGGUGCGAAAGCGUGGGUAGCAAACAGGAUUAGAUACCCUAGUAGUC
RNAcentral lists this ribosomal RNA (465 nucleotides) under Vreelandella stevensii. RNAcentral describes it as "partial 16S ribosomal RNA". It matches the Rfam family "Bacterial small subunit ribosomal RNA", at positions 338 to 795 of the family's 1533-position model. Lineage: Bacteria; Pseudomonadati; Pseudomonadota; Gammaproteobacteria; Oceanospirillales; Halomonadaceae. The record is from RNAcentral.